UCCGAAUUGGUCCAGCGGUCAGGAUCUCCCGCUCUCACCGGGGAGGCCCGGGUUCGACUCCCGGAUUCGGAA
Transfer RNA from Drechslerella stenobrocha 248, 72 nucleotides. It matches the Rfam family "tRNA". From Rfam's summary of the family: Transfer RNA (tRNA) molecules are approximately 80 nucleotides in length. Their secondary structure includes four short double-helical elements and three loops (D, anti-codon, and T loops). Further hydrogen bonds mediate the characteristic L-shaped molecular structure. tRNAs have two regions of fundamental functional importance: the anti-codon, which is responsible for specific mRNA codon recognition, and the 3' end, to which the tRNAs corresponding amino acid is attached (by aminoacyl-tRNA synthetases). tRNAs cope with the degeneracy of the genetic code in two manners: having more than one tRNA (with a specific anti-codon) for a particular amino acid; and 'wobble' base-pairing, i.e. permitting non-standard base-pairing at the 3rd anti-codon position. The record is from Rfam. NCBI's taxonomy places the organism in Eukaryota, Fungi, Ascomycota, Orbiliomycetes, Orbiliales, Orbiliaceae.